GCACCAAUUUGAAGAGCAGCGAACGGGUGAGUAACGCGUGGGGAAUCUGCCUUUGAGCGGGGGACAACAUUUGGAAACGAAUGCUAAUACCGCAUAAAAACUUUAAACACAAAUUUUAAGUUUGAAAGAUGCAAUUGCAUCACUCAAAGAUGAUCCCGCGUUGUAUUAGCUAGUUGGUGAGGUAAAGGCUCACCAAGGCGAUGAUACAUAGCCGACCUGAGAGGGUGAUCGGCCACAUUGGGACUGAGACACGGCCCAAACUCC
RNAcentral lists this ribosomal RNA (264 nucleotides) under uncultured bacterium. RNAcentral's name for it is "partial 16S ribosomal RNA". It matches the Rfam family "Bacterial small subunit ribosomal RNA", at positions 80 to 339 of the family's 1533-position model. The record is from RNAcentral.